RNAcentral lists this ribosomal RNA (253 nucleotides) under uncultured bacterium. Its description in RNAcentral is "partial 16S ribosomal RNA". It matches the Rfam family "Bacterial small subunit ribosomal RNA", at positions 524 to 776 of the family's 1533-position model. The record is from RNAcentral.
UACAGAGGUGGCAAGCGUUGUUCGGAAUUACUGGGCGUAAAGGGCGCGUAGGCGGCCAUCUAAGUCAGACGUGAAAUCCCCCGGCUUAACCUGGGAACUGCGUCUGAUACUGGAAGGCUUGAGUAUGGGAGAGGGACGUAGAAUUCCAGGUGUAGCGGUGAAAUGCGUAGAUAUCUGGAGGAAUACCGGUGGCGAAGGCGGCAUCCUGGACCAUUACUGACGCUGAGGCGCGAAAGCUAGGGGAGCAAACGGG